UCGAGCGAGUCUGCCUUGAAGAUCGGAGUGCUUGCACUCUGUGAAACAAGAUACAGGCUAGCGGCGGACGGGUGAGUAACACGUGGGUAACCUGCCCAAGAGAUCGGGAUAACACCUGGAAACAGAUGCUAAUACCGGAUAACAACAGAUGAUGCCUAUCAACUGUUUAAAAGAUGGUUCUGCUAUCACUCUUGGAUGGACCUGCGGUGCAUUAGCUAGUUGGUAGGGUAACGGCCUACCAAGGCGAUGAUGCAUAGCCGAGUUGAGAGACUGAUCGGCCACAUUGGGACUGAGACACGGCCCAAACUCCUACGGGAGGCAGCAGUAGGGAAUCUUCCACAAUGGACGCAAGUCUGAUGGAGCAACGCCGCGUGAGUGAAGAAGGGUUUCGGCUCGUAAAGCUCUGUUGUUGGUGAAGAAGGACAGGGGUAGUAACUGACCUUUGUUUGACGGUAAUCAAUUAGAAAGUCACGGCUAACUACGUGCCAGCAGCCGCGGUAAUACGUAGGUGGCAAGCGUUGUCCGGAUUUAUUGGGCGUAAAGCGAGUGCAGGCGGUUCGAUAAGUCUGGUGUGAAAGCCUUCGGCUCAACCGGAGAAUUGCAUCAGAAACUGUCGAGCUUGAGUACAGAAGAGGAGAGUGGAACUCCAUGUGUAGCGGUGAAA
Molecule: ribosomal RNA, 664 nt
Filed under: uncultured bacterium
Lineage: Bacteria
Description: bacterial SSU rRNA
Rfam family: Bacterial small subunit ribosomal RNA
Source: RNAcentral